Vicugna pacos (alpaca) is the source of this 5095-nucleotide non-coding RNA. NCBI's taxonomy places the organism in Eukaryota, Metazoa, Chordata, Mammalia, Artiodactyla, Camelidae. The record is from RefSeq and is a predicted model, not a curated record.
AGAGGCCUUUAGAAGAACAGAGCGACAGUUGAAAUCUGAGGCAGGAAGUGGGGAAAAGCAGCAACAGUGGUUUAGCGCCCAGAGCCGCACGGAAGACCCUGCCCUUGCCUGGACGUGGCCUGGGCGGCUCUGAGCCGUCUGCAGAUGCUCCGAAGAGGAAAACGUCCCAGGGACUGGCUGUGGGGAGCACUUGCUUCUUGGGAGACACAUCCUAGUCCUGGAAUAAGUCAGAGAGAAGUUCCUCCUGAGAGUCUGCGUCAGGGAAGAAGUCCCCCUUACCUCCAAGGACUGCGCCCCGAGCUGGAGGGGAGCACGUGAGGAGGCGGAGUUGGCGGCACAGACGCACGAGGUGCAGAGCGAUUCUCAGUGAUCACAGCUGCUGUUCCGGGGAGUGGCGCGCGGACAGCAGCACACGGCGCUAAACACUGGAUCUGCUUCUGCAGGAAAUCCUGAGGUCAGGCUCCUCUUUUUCACACGUGUGUGGGCAGCUGGCCUUCCCUGCUCCUGGGUGUCGUUUUGUAAAAUGGGCCAAGGCCAGAGGGCCUAGUGCCAGCCCUCCCCACUAUCAGCACCAUCACUCACAUCUUCACGACCAUCACCAUCACCUCAGCACCAGUGCCUCCGGCUCUCGGGCAGGGACCAAGCAUCUCAGUAGUCGGACAUGUGAGGGAGUCUGGCCUGAGCUUGUGGUGCUGUGGCACAGAGCUGCGCAAGCUAUACAGAGAGACCCAGCAGGGCAUCAGUGUCUUCCUGAAAAUUACUGUUUAAAUGUAACAUUUUAACGUUUUCUGAAAGAGCGAUUGAACCAAGCAGAGGAAUAAGAAGAAAGAUGCUGCCCCAGGGAGAGAGAAAGGCCAGUCAGACCAGUAGAGGAUCUGCCUCCUGCCACUGGGGCGGUGGCUGAGCCACCGAGGAGCUGACCGACGCCAGGUCUGCCCAGGUCUUCUCUAAAGGUGGGUAGAGGAAGAGCAAAUGGCACGAGACCUAAAAGAAAGUGUGUGUGUGUGCGCGCGCGUGUGCUGCGGGGCGGGGUGGGGACGGAGAGGCGCCGUGGGAGGCGGAGGAAGGUCCGCUCCAGAGUUAUUUCCAGGGGGACGCAGACUCUUGGCCGCACCCCAGCGUUCACGCUCAGUUGAUGACCCCCAGACACAGCUCCCACGAAAGAGGAGCGCAGGGUCGCUGGGGGAGAGGGAGCAAGGAGAAAGUGCGGAACACACGAGGGAAGUGACAGCGAGGAGUGGCAGCACCGCUUCCGGCAGCAGGUCUGAAUUGGAAAAUCAACCGCUGCGUAACGGGACCAAGAAGUGCGUCUAGGCUCACGCAGACGAAAUGAAAAUGGAGGAGUUAAAGUCUGCAGCUGUAAACAGUGUAAUUGCAGAAUAAGGAAGCCCGUCACUUGGUCACAAGCUUGAGAAUGCGGAGGAGAAGGGGAGGAGACCCCGCGUGGGGGCAGCAAGCCGGCUGCAGUGACGGGGAGCAGCGCACAGACAGACGCCGGCCAAGGGGCGUCCCGGACCCAGAGCAGGCGCAAAGAGGACAUCUCAGGGGUCCAGUUCACAGUGCUCGUCUGGGUCAUAGAAACCAACGAUAGUGAAGGAAGAGCUUGUGCAGAGACUCAGGUGGUUGGCAUGGGGUGGAGAGGGCAGACGUCUGCGGGCGGAGUACCGCCCUCGUCCACACGAACACGUAAGACACUAAAUUCCGUGCGGUGAAGGAGAAGCCAGGCCAAGGUUUAGAUCCGAGGAUUUUAUACCAUGUGAAGCUGGUGGAGAGAAUCCGUGUAUGCGAGACAUCUGAAGAUACACCAGCCAGAUGCUCCUUCACGGGGCGGGGAGGUGCUCAGGACACACACACUGAGCAGUUGGAGGGAAGAGCCGGGGGCGCAGUGGGAAGGACGGAGCCCGGCUGCUGGGAUCCAGCCGCUGGCCCCCGGCUGAGCGAGGAGACGGCCGUUCACCAGCUGCAGAGGUCCAUCUUGCUCCAUGUUGAUAAGCUCCUUCCACUCUUUUUCUGUGACCAAGUUCAGCCUGAAGAGCAAGCCUUGCCCACACAGUAAGCCAGGGUGCAUUUUUCAGUCUCGUCUCCAAAGAGUGCAGUUUAUUUAAGUUGUUAGUAACGUGUGACUUUGUUUAAAGGAAAAAUGUCAAAUGCAGUUACAGUAGCACCAGAGCGGACCUAUUUGAAAGCUGAUGUGAGACUGAUCUAUAGGUAUCUUAGCAAGACAUUUAGAAAAAAUAUAAACAAUUCUGAAGCUACAUUAACAAGCUGAAAAAUAAACUAAUUUUGGCCCAAAUUUCUAACCCAGGGGCUUACCUCAGCGAUGAUGACAUCUGUGGGCUGAGAGCAGGGCAGAGACAGACCCGAGGACGGUUCGGCUGCAGGGUGCACAGGAAGCUGGUGGAGGGGGCAUCUGCUCCACAGACGAGAUGCAAGGUGACCCUCGCCCCACCCCAUCUCCCUCUAGUGUGAGUCACCUCGGUGUCAGAAACUCACACGUGGGGCCUCGGUGGCAGGCAUCACUGGGCAGGAGACGGGGGGCCUGUCCCUGUAGGCUUGCACUCCGCCCUCUCUCCCCAGUCCCCUCCCUGGCUGGGCACAGGCAGGGGCGGCGGUACUGGAGUGAGUCUGACAGGGUAGGAGGCUGUAGAACUCACUGCCAAUGCAGGGACCUUAAGCUCCUCAGAAGGGCCAGCCUCGGGCCACUCACAGAACAUUCAAGGGUCUUGAGUGCCCCCAGGGCACCACUGGCCCUGGCUGAAGUCAUAGCCUGAGGGGCCUGGGGCACAAGGAGCCACCCCUCCUCUCCCUAUAGGCCCUUCCCUCCCUCUGCGCGCACCCGCCUGUGCCCACACUGCACUCCUCUCCGCUCCUCCGACCUUGGUGAUCCUGACUGCGGUGACGGGCAGCCGGGAGAGUCCACCCUCUGAGGUAGCGCCCCACACCCGUGGUCACCCACCUCGCACAGCAUCCACCUCUGACUGUUAGCACGAGAGACACUCGAAGAGACCUUUUGUCAACGUAUGAAUGUGCGAAUUGGAAUUAAGUUCCUGGAAGCAACUUUACAGAAAAAGUUUGUUCGUUUGUGAUUAAUUUCAUGUCUUGUCAUUUGCAUUUCAUUUGAUGGACUAUUAUUAAUGAAGGGCUGAUUGAGCAUUAAUGUGAUUGGAACCUGAAUUAAUGCAUUUUGAUAAUUUAUUGUUUUCAUCAAUCCAAAACAGUAGGAUCAGACGGAUGGACGUCACGUUCUUAAACCAGUGGAAUUCAAAGUGAGAAGCCCGUUUUACCCUCAGUGCACUUGAAUCUCUCAGUGAAAACUGGCUUGUCCUAGCACAAUAAUUUUUCUUGCUGGUGACAAGGAGUUGGAAGCCACACAGGAUGGAAUUCGGGCAAUAAUCCUGGGUGAGUUGAAUCAAGUUCAGUUACCAUUUCAGCACUGAAAAAUCUGCAUAGCCGCGUUGAGUCUCACAAAGUGAAGUUUAUGCAUGGACUGCUUUCAAAACCUUGUUUGGUCAAACGCACUUAAAAUUUUAAGCGAUCUCAUUUGAGCAUUUUUACACGUCAGCAGUUCAUUUAAUUCAACUGAAAAAUGCAUUCGUUUGUGUAAGGCUGUAUAUGAGAUGUCACCCUGGUGGAAAAUGGAAAAUUAAACCAUGAACACCUUUGCAACAUGAAGGCAGGUAUAGUUUCUCAAAAAUACGUUCUAGAGACCACGUCCUUCACAGCCAUGAAGGGCGGUGUUAAAACGCUUCGGUAGUAACUGCCUGAAAGCCGAGCCACCACUUGGUUUCACGGCGUGGGGGUUUGUUGACGUGAUGCCAGAUCGCAAAUUAGGCUGUUACUUCCUUUGUAUUGAGCGAUUUAAAUGGAUCAGUCGUUUGUGUCAGGCAGACACAAAGCUGUACCAGAUUAACAUCCACGAGACACGCACAGUCACGUGAGUCUGACCUGGGAACCCACACAGAGCGCAGAGAGCUGCGAGGUGUGCAGCGGAGAAUCCAAAACACAAUGAAUGCCCUUCAGAAUAGCCCACAGCCGGGCCCUAAGGGAGCUGGCCAGCAGGCACUUAAAGGUCUGUCCUUAAGCUACGGCUUCUUACCACGGCCAUGGUCAAGAUUCUUGGUAAAAAGUCAUCUGCUCAUGAUUUUUAUUUCAAGCUACAAGAACAGAAAAAUGCUGAAUGGUGGGCAGGGAUGGAAAGGUGGCACGCAGAGGAUUUCUAGUGCAGUGAGACUUCUCCAUGUGACACCACAGUGAGGGAUACGUGUCCCAACCCCCAGGAUGCACAGCGCAGGAGUGAGCCCUGACAUCAGCCAUGGGCUCUGGGCGGUGACGGUGUGUCAGCGUAGCUCCAUCCGCCGUGACAAGUGUCCCAUCUGCUGGGAGGUGGACAGUGGGGAGGGUGUGCACGUGUGGGGGCAGGAAUGGGGCAUGUGUGGGAAAUCUCCAGGUCUUCAUCUCAAUUUUGCUGUGAACCUAAAACUGCUCUAAAUUAAAAAAAAAUUAAAAUCAUUGUGAUACGGAACUAAAUCCCAGAAGAUCUCAUUUUGGAGACGGCAUGGCUGGAAGAUGCAAAGGGAAAGUGAGAGUGUUCGGUAGCUCUGCGUGGUCUCUACAUCACUAUGAAACUGUAAAUGAAGGUGUUUCUUUACUACAGAAAAAAAAGAGUCGGUGAGAACACACUAUUGGACAGAAUUACUUCAGCCAAUUGUCUUCGGAGCCGUUCAGAACCUCUUAUCAGUGUCCACCUUCCAACACAAAGCCUUUUUUCCCUCCCUCUGGAUGAUCUACGCUUUUACAAGACAGCUCUUCCUGUAAGCAUCGCUGGCCACCUCCAGCUGGUGUGGCAGGUCACACCCCACUCAUACUUGCGGAUGGGCAGGGCCAGGCUGACUCUAAAAUGCAGACCCACGCCGCACAGAUCGUCCAUCUGCAGUUAAACCGAUGUGAGCCCGGGCCCCCAGAGCACACAGGCGGUGUCGUUUCAGCCCUGUCACCGCGUGCACUUCUGACAGAAUGUCGUUCUUGAUUCUGGGGACCCUGAGUAGAGUCAGCAGAGGGAGCGUGUGAUAGACGGUUAAUAAAAUGAACUCGCCAA